Molecule: ribosomal RNA, 119 nt
Filed under: Cebus imitator (Panamanian white-faced capuchin)
Lineage: Eukaryota; Metazoa; Chordata; Mammalia; Primates; Cebidae
Source: RNAcentral
GUUUGUUGUUAUACCACCCUGAACAUGCCUGAUGUUGUCUGAUCUCAGAAGCUAAGCAGGGUUGGGCCUGGUUAGUACUUGGAGGGGAGACCACCUGAAACUACUGUGUGCUAUAGUCU